RNAcentral lists this ribosomal RNA (2840 nucleotides) under Sulfitobacter porphyrae. RNAcentral's name for it is "23S ribosomal RNA". It matches the Rfam family "Bacterial large subunit ribosomal RNA". Lineage: Bacteria; Pseudomonadati; Pseudomonadota; Alphaproteobacteria; Rhodobacterales; Roseobacteraceae. The record is from RNAcentral.
AAAAGGGCGUUUGGUGAAUGCCUUGGCAGUAAGAGGCGAUGAAAGACGUGAUACUCUGCGAUAAGCCAUGGGGAGCCGAGAAUAGGCUUUGAUCCAUGGAUCUCUGAAUGGGGCAACCCACCUGAUACUGUGUUAUUGUUACCCGCUUCGGCGGCGAUCAAUAAUGCGGUAAAACAGGUAUUUCUAGACUGAAUACAUAGGUUUAGAAAAGCAAACCCGGGGAACUGAAACAUCUAAGUACCCGGAGGAAAGGAAAUCAAUUGAUACUCCCCUAGUAGCGGCGAGCGAACGGGGACCAGCCGAGCCAUGAGUGUGGUUAGAAUGCGUUGGAAUGCGCAACCAGAGUGGGUGAUAGUCCCGUAUAAGAAGCAUGAUUGGACGUAUUAAGUAGGGCGGGACACGUGAAAUCCUGUCUGAAGAUCGGAGGACCACCUUCGAAGGCUAAGUACUCCUUACUGACCGAUAGUGAACCAGUACCGUGAGGGAAAGGUGAAAAGCACCCCGACGAGGGGAGUGAAACAGUACCUGAAACCGAACGCCUACAAUCAGUUGGAGGGGCUUUACGCCCUGACAGCGUACCUUUUGUAUAAUGGGUCAUCGACUUGGUCUCACGAGCAAGCUUAAGCCGUUAGGUGUAGGCGCAGCGAAAGCGAGUCUUAAUAGGGCGUCGAGUUCGUGGGAUCAGACCCGAAACCGAGUGAUCUAGGCAUGGCCAGGUUGAAGGUAAGGUAACACUUACUGGAGGACCGAACCCACAUCCGUUGAAAAGGAUCGGGAUGAGCUGUGCCUAGGGGUGAAAGGCCAAUCAAACUCGGAGAUAGCUGGUUCUCUGCGAAAUCUAUUUAGGUAGAGCGUCAUCCGAAUACCCUCGGGGGUAGAGCACUGGAUGGGUAAUGGGGCCCCACAGGCUUACUGAUCCUAACCAAACUCCGAAUACCGAGGAGUACUAGAUGGCAGACACACGGCGAAUGCUAACGUCCGUCGUGAAGAGGGAAACAACCCUGACCUCCAGCUAAGGCCCCUAAUUCAUGGCUAAGUGGGAAAGCAGGUGAGACGGCCAAAACAACCAGGAGGUUGGCUUAGAAGCAGCCAUCCUUUAAAGAUAGCGUAACAGCUCACUGGUCUAAUUAAGCUGUCUUGCGGCGAAGAUGUAACGGGGCUCAAGCCAUGAGCCGAAGCUGAGGAUGCAUUUAUUGCAUGGUAGCAGAGCGUAGUGUGACAUAACUCCUAUCCCCUUCAGCGUUGGUGCGCAGUAAAUGCGCACCCUACGUUGAGGAGGGUAAGGAGUUUUCUGUGAAGCUGGCGCGUGAGCGAUCCGGUGGAGAGAUCACUAGUGAGAAUGAUGACAUGAGUAGCGACAAAGAGUGUGAGAGACACUCUCGCCGAAAGUCCAAGGGUUCCUGCUUAAAGCUAAUCUGAGCAGGGUAAGCCGACCCCUAAGGCGAGGCCGAAAGGCGUAGUCGAUGGGAACCAGGUUAAUAUUCCUGGGCCAGAUGGAAGUGACGGAUCUCGAGGGUAGUUCAUCCUUAUCGGAUUGAAUGGGCUGCUUAGAGGUUCCUGGAAAUAGCUCCAUCGCUAGAUCGUACCCUAAACCGACACAGGUGGACUGGUAGAGAAUACCAAGGCGCUUGAGAGAACUAUGUUGAAGGAACUCGGCAAAAUACCUCCGUAAGUUCGCGAGAAGGAGGCCCGGUUCCUAGGCAACUAGGGGCUGGGGGCACAAACCAGGGGGUGGCGACUGUUUAUUAAAAACACAGGGCUCUGCGAAGUCGCAAGACGACGUAUAGGGUCUGACGCCUGCCCGGUGCCUGAAGGUUAAAAGGAGGGGUGAGAGCUCUGAAUUGAAGCCCAGGUAAACGGCGGCCGUAACUAUAACGGUCCUAAGGUAGCGAAAUUCCUUGUCGGGUAAGUUCCGACCUGCACGAAUGGCGUAACGACUUCCCCGCUGUCUCCAACAUAGACUCAGCGAAAUUGAAUUACCUGUCAAGAUGCAGGUUUCCCGCGGUUAGACGGAAAGACCCCGUGCACCUUUACUACAGCUUCACACUGGCAUUAGGCCGAACAUGUGCAGGAUAGGUGGUGGGCUUUGAAGCCGGAACGCUAGUUUCGGUGGAGCCUCCCUUGAGAUACCACCCUUGUUCUGCUUGAUGUCUAACCGCGGUCCGUUAUCCGGAUCCGGGACCCUGUGUGGCGGGUAGUUUGACUGGGGCGGUCGCCUCCUAAAUCGUAACGGAGGCGCGCGAAGGUUGGCUCAGAGCGGUCGGAAAUCGCUCGUUGAGUGCAAUGGCAGAAGCCAGCCUGACUGCAAGACUGACAAGUCGAGCAGAGUCGAAAGACGGCCAUAGUGAUCCGGUGGUCCCAAGUGGGAGGGCCAUCGCUCAACGGAUAAAAGGUACGCCGGGGAUAACAGGCUGAUACUGCCCAAGAGUCCAUAUCGACGGCAGUGUUUGGCACCUCGAUGUCGGCUCAUCUCAUCCUGGGGCUGGAGCAGGUCCCAAGGGUACGGCUGUUCGCCGUUUAAAGAGGUACGUGAGCUGGGUUUAGAACGUCGUGAGACAGUUCGGUCCCUAUCUUCCGUGGGUGUAGGAUACUUGAGAGGAGUUGCCCCUAGUACGAGAGGACCGGGGUGAACGAUCCACUGGUGGACCAGUUGUUAUGCCAAUAGCAGUGCUGGGUAGCUAUGAUCGGACAGGAUAACCGCUGAAGGCAUCUAAGCGGGAAGCCCCCCUCAAAACAAGGUAUCCCUGAGAGCCGAGGUAGACCACCUCGUCGAUAGGCCAGAGAUGUAAGCGUGGUAACACGUUCAGUUGACUGGUACUAAUUGCUCGAUAGGCUUGAUU